This 774-nucleotide ribosomal RNA is filed under the name uncultured Neocallimastigales. Its description in RNAcentral is "partial large subunit ribosomal RNA". It matches the Rfam family "Eukaryotic large subunit ribosomal RNA", at positions 22 to 646 of the family's 3401-position model. Lineage: Eukaryota; Fungi; Neocallimastigomycota; Neocallimastigomycetes; Neocallimastigales. The record is from RNAcentral.
GUACACGCUGUGACUAGCAUAUCAAUAAGCGGAGGAAAAGAAACUAACAAGGAUUCCCCUAGUAACGGCGAGUGAAGCGGGAAGAGCUCAAAUUUGAAAUCUUAAAGGGUUUCCCUUUACGAAUUGUAGUUUAAAGAAGUGUUUUCUGUUGAGGUUUUGGUAAAAGUUCUUUGGAAUAGGACAUCAUAGAGGGUGAGAAUCCCGUAUUUGACCUUUACUUUCAACUUUGUGAUACACUUUCAAAGAGUCGGAUUGUUUGGGAAUGCAGUCCAAAAUGGGUGGUAAAUUUCAUCUAAAGCUAAAUAUUGGCGAGAGACCGAUAGCGAACAAGUACCGUGAGGGAAAGAUGAAAAGAACUUUGAAAAGAGAGUUAAACAGUACGUGAAAUUGUCAAAAGGGAAGCGUUUGACACCAGUGUUGUUUUUCUGAAAAUCAAUUAAAGAACUGUUUAUGCUAAGUUGUUUAGACUUUAUCAGCUAACUGUUUAGUUUUGAGCUUUUCUUUAAUGCACUUUUCAGUUAACAAGUCAACAUCAAUUUCUUUUGCUGUAAAAAAGCUUGAGGAAGGUGGCUUGAGAUUCGUCUUAAGUGUUUAUAGCCUCUUGCCUAUGCAGUCGGAGAGAUUGAGGUCUGCAGCGUAGAUCCUUCGGGGCUAAAUGCAUUUGUGCUAAGUUAUAGCAUUUCAUAGACAACUUGUUGACUAUGAUUUGUCUUGUAGCUUACUCGCUUACGUUAUUUUACCUACGCUUAGGAUGUUGACGAGACUGUCGAUCUC